CCGUUAAGUCUGNNNNNNGGGANGUACGUANGCAAGUAUGAAACUUAAAGGAAUUGGCGGGGGAGCACCACAAGGGGUGAAGCCUGCGGUUCAAUUGGAGUCAACGCCAGAAAUCUUACCUGGGGAGACAGCAGAAUGAAGGUCAAGCUGAAGACUUUACCAGACACGGUGAGAGGUGGUGCAUGGCCGUCGCCAGCUNGNNCCGUGAGAUGUCCUGUUAAGUCAGGUAACGAGCGAGACCCCUGCGUCUAGUUGCUACCAUUACUCUCUGGAGCAGUGGAGCGAAUUAGACGGACCGCCACAGUUAAUGUGGAGGAAGGAAGGGGCCACGGCAGGUCAGUAUGCCCCGAAACCCUAGGGCUACACGCGGGC
Molecule: ribosomal RNA, 372 nt
Filed under: uncultured archaeon
Lineage: Archaea
Description: partial 16S ribosomal RNA
Rfam family: Archaeal small subunit ribosomal RNA
Source: RNAcentral